RNAcentral lists this ribosomal RNA (447 nucleotides) under uncultured bacterium. Its description in RNAcentral is "bacterial SSU rRNA". It matches the Rfam family "Bacterial small subunit ribosomal RNA", at positions 330 to 793 of the family's 1533-position model. The record is from RNAcentral.
ACCAGACUCCUACGGGAGGCAGCAGUGGGGAAUAUUGCACAAUGGGGGAAACCCUGAUGCAGCGACGCCGCGUGAGUGAAGAAGUAUUUCGGUAUGUAAAGCUCUAUCAGCAGGGAAGAAGAAGGACGGUACCUGAGUAAGAAGCCCCGGCUAACUACGUGCCAGCAGCCGCGGUAAUACGUAGGGGGCAAGCGUUAUCCGGAUUUACUGGGUGUAAAGGGGGCGCAGACGGCGAUGCAAGCCAGGAGUGAAAGCCCGGGGCCCAACCCCGGGACUGCUCUUGGAACUGCGUGGCUGGAGUGCAGGAGGGGCAGGCGGAAUUCCUGGUGUAGCGGUGAAAUGCGUAGAUAUUAGGAGGAACACCAGUGGCGAAGGCGGCCUGCUGGACGGUGACUGACGCUGAGGCUCGAAAGCGUGGGGAGCAAACAGGAUUAGAUACCCGAGUAA